Molecule: ribosomal RNA, 121 nt
Filed under: Pteropus alecto (black flying fox)
Lineage: Eukaryota; Metazoa; Chordata; Mammalia; Chiroptera; Pteropodidae
Source: RNAcentral
GUCCAUGGCCAUGCUACCCUGAACAAGCCCAAUCCUGUCUGAUCUCGGAAGCUAAGCAGAAUUGGGCCUGGUUAGUACUUUUGAAUGGGAGACCACCUAGGAAGACCAGGUGCUGUAGGUA